GAGUUUGAUCAUGGCUCAGGAUGAACGCUGGCGGCGUGCUUAACACAUGCAAGUCGAACGAAGCGCCUUAUUUGAUUUUCUUCGGAACUGAAGAUUUGGUGACUGAGUGGCGGACGGGUGAGUAAUGCGUGGGGUAACCUGCCCUGUACAGGGGGAUAACAAUCAGAAAUGACUGCUAAUACCGCAUAAGACCACAGCACCGCAUGGUGCAGGGGUAAAAAACUCCGGUGGUACAGGAUGGACCCGCGUCUGAUUAGCUGGUUGGUGAGGUAACGGCUCACCAAGGCGACGAUCAGUAGCCGGCUUGAGAGAGUGAACGGCCACAUUGGGACUGAGACACGGCCCAAACUCCUACGGGAGGCAGCAGUGGGGAAUAUUGCACAAUGGGGGAAACCCUGAUGCAGCAACGCCGCGUGAGUGAAGAAGUAUUUCGGUAUGUAAAGCUCUAUCAGCAGGGAAGAAAGUGACGGUACCUGACUAAGAAGCCCCGGCUAACUACGUGCCAGCCGCCGCCGUAAAA
Molecule: ribosomal RNA, 520 nt
Filed under: uncultured microorganism
Description: bacterial SSU rRNA
Rfam family: Bacterial small subunit ribosomal RNA
Source: RNAcentral